Molecule: non-coding RNA, 24 nt
Filed under: Rattus norvegicus (Norway rat)
Lineage: Eukaryota; Metazoa; Chordata; Mammalia; Rodentia; Muridae
Source: RNAcentral
UAUUGUAGGACCUUCACUGUUGCA